CGGAAUGUAAACUUCUUUAAGAAAAAAACAAGCCUUCGGGUGACGGUACCUGCAGAAAAAGCGACCGGCUAACUACGUGCCAGCAGCCGCGGUAAUACGUAGGCUCAGAGCGUUGUCCGGAAAUAUUGGGCGUAAAGAGCUCGUAGGCGGUUUGUCGCGUCUGCUGUGAAAACUAGAGGCUCAACCUCGGAGCCUGCAGUGGGUACGGGCAGACUUGAGUGCGUGUAGGGGAGACUGGAAUUCCUGGUGUAGCGGUGGAAUGCGCAGAUAUCAGGAGGAACACCGAUGGCGCAGGCAGAUCUCUGGGCACUUACUGACGCUGAGGAGCGAAAGCGUGGGGAGCGAACAGGAUUAGAUACCCUUGGUAGUCCACGCCGUAAACGUUGGGCACUAGAUGUGGGGACCAUUCCACGGUUUCCGUGUCGCAGCUAACGCAUUAAGUUCCCCGCCUGGGGAGUACGGCCGCAAGGCUAAAACUCAAAGGAAUUGACGGGGGCCCGCACAAGCGGCGGAGCAUGCGGAUUAAUUCGAUGCAACGCGAAGAACCUUACCAAGGCUUGACAUACACGAGAACGGGCCAGAAAUGGUCAACUCUUUGGACACUCGUGAACAGGUGGUGCAUGGUUGUCGUCAGCUCGUGUCGUGAGAUGUUGGGUUAAGUCCCGCAACGAGCGCAACCCUCGUUGCAUGUUGCCAGCACGUAAUGGUGGGGACUCAUGGGAGACUGCCGGGGUCAACUCGGAGGAAGGUGGGGAUGACGUCAAAUCAUCAUGCCCCUUAUGUCUUGGGCUUCACGCAUGCUACAAUGGCCGGUACAAAGGGCUGCGAUGUCGUGAGGCGGAGCGAAUCCCAAAAAGCCGGUCCCAGUUCGGAUUGAGGUCUGCAACUCGACCUCAUGAAGU
Molecule: ribosomal RNA, 902 nt
Filed under: Agromyces sp. BAC2130
Lineage: Bacteria; Bacillati; Actinomycetota; Actinomycetes; Micrococcales; Microbacteriaceae
Description: bacterial SSU rRNA
Rfam family: Bacterial small subunit ribosomal RNA
Source: RNAcentral